This 498-nucleotide ribosomal RNA is filed under the name uncultured bacterium. Its description in RNAcentral is "partial 16S ribosomal RNA". It matches the Rfam family "Bacterial small subunit ribosomal RNA", at positions 30 to 523 of the family's 1533-position model. The record is from RNAcentral.
AUUGAACGCUGGCGGCAUGCUUUACACAUGCAAGUCGAACGGCAGCGCGGGGCAACCUGGCGGCGAGUGGCGAACGGGUGAGUAAUAUAUCGGAACGUACCCAGAGGUGGGGGAUAACGUAGCGAAAGUUACGCUAAUACCGCAUACGAUCUACGGAUGAAAGUGGGGGACCUUCGGGCCUCAUGCUUGUGGAGCGGCCGAUAUCUGAUUAGCUAGUUGGUAGGGUAAAGGCCUACCAAGGCGACGAUCAGUAGCUGGUCUGAGAGGACGACCAGCCACACUGGGACUGAGACACGGCCCAGACUCCUACGGGAGGCAGCAGUGGGGAAUUUUGGACAAUGGGCGCAAGCCUGAUCCAGCAAUGCCGCGUGAGUGAAGAAGGCCUUCGGGUUGUAAAGCUCUUUUGUCAGGGAAGAAACGGUUGGGGCUAAUAUCUCCGGCUAAUGACGGUACCUGAAGAAUAAGCACCGGCUAACUACGUGCCAGCAGCCGCCGUAA